UAGUAGGCUUCCGAGGGUUAAGCGUGCGUGGAAGUGGGCUUCAACGUGGUCAGUUGAGUUCCUUGCGCCAAAAAUAUAGAGGACUGGUGUGACGUUCGUCACACCAUGUGUGACGUCCGUCACAAGGUUACUUCGCGUGACGCUCGUCACGCGUCCUGUGACGUCCGUCACAGGCACAGCAUUGGUGACUUGUGCGCUUUGGGCUGG
This 207-nucleotide long non-coding RNA is filed under the name Lathyrus oleraceus (garden pea). Its description in RNAcentral is "Pisum sativum (pea) long non-coding RNA (PSAT_LNC039253)". The record is from RNAcentral. Lineage: Eukaryota; Viridiplantae; Streptophyta; Magnoliopsida; Fabales; Fabaceae.